GUCCUGUCUUCGGGGAGAAACAUUCUAAAUCACCUGCCCUCUCUUCCUGGGGGGACCCAGUCCUGCUGAAGACAGAUGUGCCAUUGAGCUCAGCAGAAGAGGCAGAGUGCCACUGGGCAGACACAGAGCUGAACCGUCGCCGCCGGCGCUUCUGCAGCAAAGUUGAGGGCUAUGGAAGUGUAUGCAGCUGCAAGGACCCCACACCCAUCGAGUUCAGCCCUGACCCACUCCCAGACAACAAGGUCCUCAAUGUGCCUGUGGCUGUCAUUGCAGGGAACCGACCCAAUUACCUGUACAGGUAAGCCUGGGAAUGGGCUAUACCCAGCACUGAACAGGAGGGUGCUUAGGUCAUCUACCUCCAGGAGGAACUCUUGAGGUGGGCAGAAAGGCAAUAGAUUCUAGACGCAUUCACCUCUGUGGGUAAGCAUAGGGACUCUGGGCCCAGCUGUAAACACAGGGGAACCUGAGUUGAGGGGUGAUGAAGUGACCCUAACCUAUCCCUGGGCUCCCCAGGAUGCUGCGCUCUCUGCUUUCAGCCCAGGGGGUGUCUCCUCAGAUGAUAACAGUUUUCAUUGACGGCUACUAUGAGGUGAGCAGGACUUGGGGGGUGCCUCGGGUGGAGUACAACAUGGAGCAGCAGUGAUUGCCAGGGACGGGCAAGGGAGACCGCCCAGGCAAGGGCUGUGAAAUGUGAAGGCCUUGGAUUGCAGAGGUGGGCAGAGGGAAAGUGACCUCACAUGGUGAGCAGUGGCCAUGUCCCCCAGGAACCC
RNAcentral lists this long non-coding RNA (770 nucleotides) under Homo sapiens (human). RNAcentral's name for it is "non-protein coding lnc-PIK3R3-4:1". The record is from RNAcentral. Lineage: Eukaryota; Metazoa; Chordata; Mammalia; Primates; Hominidae.